AUUGAACGCUGGCGGCAUGCUUUACACAUGCCAGUCGAACGGUAACAGGCCUUCGGGUGCUGACGAGUGGCGCACGGGUGAGUAAUGCAUCGGAACGUACCCAGAGGUGGGGGAUAACGCAGCGAAAGCUGUGCUAAUACCGCAUGUGAUCUGAGGAUGAAAGCGGGGGACCGAGCAGCAAUGUUUGGCCUCGCGCCUUUGGAGCGGCCGAUGUCGGAUUAGCUAGUUGGUGGGGUAAAGGCCUACCAAGGCGACGAUCCGUAGCUGGUCUGAGAGGACGACCAGCCACACUGGAACUGAGACACGGCCCAGACUCCUACGGGAGGCAGCAGUGGGGAAUUUUGGACAAUGGGCGCAAGCCUGAUCCAGCAAUGCCGCGUGCGGGAAGAAGGCCUUCGGGUUGUAAACCGCUUUUGGCAGGAACGAAACGGUGUCCGCUAAUACCGGGCGCUAAUGACGGUACCUGCAGAAUAAGCACCGGCUAACUACGUG
Molecule: ribosomal RNA, 492 nt
Filed under: uncultured bacterium
Lineage: Bacteria
Description: partial 16S ribosomal RNA
Rfam family: Bacterial small subunit ribosomal RNA
Source: RNAcentral